This 921-nucleotide non-coding RNA is filed under the name Drosophila sechellia. RNAcentral describes it as "Eukaryotic large subunit ribosomal RNA". It matches the Rfam family "Eukaryotic large subunit ribosomal RNA", at positions 1 to 771 of the family's 3401-position model. Lineage: Eukaryota; Metazoa; Arthropoda; Insecta; Diptera; Drosophilidae. The record is from Rfam by way of RNAcentral.
CAACCUCAACUCAUAUGGGACUACCCCCUGAAUUUAAGCAUAUUAAUUAGGGGAGGAAAAGAAACUAACAAGGAUUUUCUUAGUAGCGGCGAGCGAAAAGAAAACAGUUCAGCACUAAGUCACUUUGUCUAUAUGGCAAAUGUGAGAUGCAGUGUAUGGAGCGUCAAUAUUCUAGUAUGAGAAAUUAAUGAUUUAAGUCCUUCUUAAAUGAGGCCAUUUACCCAUAGAGGGUGCCAGGCCCGUAUAACGUUAAUGAUUGCUAGAUGAUGUUUCCAAAGAGUCGUGUUGCUUGAUAGUGCAGCACUAAGUGGGUGGUAAACUCCAUCUAAACUAAAUAUAACCAUGAGACCGAUAGUAAACAAGUACCGUGAGGGAAAGUUGAAAAGAACUCUGAAUAGAGAGUUAAACAGUACGUGAAACUGCUUAGAGGUUAAGCCCGAUGAACCUGAAUAUCCGUUAUGGAAAAUUCAUCAUUAAAAUUGUAAUAUUUAAAUAAUAUUAUUAAGAAUAAUGUGCAUUUUUUCCAUAUAAGGACAUUGUAAUCUAUUAGCAUAUCCCAAAUUUAUCAUAAAAUAUAACUUAUAGUUUAUUCCAAUUAAAUUGCUUGCAUUUUAACACAGAAUAAAUGUUAUUAAUUUGAUAAAGUGCUGAUAGAUUUAUAUUAUUACAGAGCGUUAAUUUUUCGGAAUUAUAUAAUGGCAUAAUUAUCAUUGAUUUUUGUGUUUAUUAUAUGCUCUUGUAUGAUUAACAAUGCGAAAGAUUCAGGAUACCUUCGGGACCCGUCUUGAAACACGGACCAAGGAGUCUAACAUAUGUGCAAGUUAUUGGGAUGUAAACCUAAUAGCGUAAUUAACUUGACUAAUAAUGGGAUUAGUUUUUUAGCAUAAAAUAUAGCCUAAUUAACACAAUCCCGGGGCGUUC